This 978-nucleotide long non-coding RNA is filed under the name Homo sapiens (human). Its description in RNAcentral is "HSALNT0162619". Lineage: Eukaryota; Metazoa; Chordata; Mammalia; Primates; Hominidae. The record is from RNAcentral.
GUUUAAUACUUAGUUUAAAUACAACUUAGUUUAACAAAUAUAAGUUUUAUUUUACUUCCCAUGUUUUAUAAUCUAAAUUGCCAUUGGACUUUUUUUUUUUUUUUUUUUUUUUGAGACAGAGUCUCGCUCUGUCCCCCAGGCUGGAGUGCAGUGGCGUGAUCUCUGUUCACUGCAAGCUCCGCCUGCUGGGUUCACUCCAUUCUCCUGCCUCAGCCUCCCAAAUAGCUGUGACUACAGGUGCCUGUCACCGUGCCUGGCUCAUUUUUUUGUGUUUUUAGUAGAGAUGGGGUUUCACCGUGUUAGCCAGGAUGGUCUCAAUCUCCUGACCUUGUGAUCCACAUGCCUCAGCCUCCCAAAGUGCUGGGUUUACAGGCAUGAGACACUGCGCCCAGCCUAUGGCAAUAUUUUUAAUGGCAGCUUCACAUUCUGGAUAUCUUUAUGUUGGGGAAAAAGUUUCAAAGGUAACUGCUCUUCUGUAGCUAAGCUUUUUUAGAGCAGAGGAUGGAGCAAAUUCUGAGUUACUGAAAUUACAUAUUUAGCGCUAUUGCCUUGUUUAGCUUUAACUUCUAUUUCAUCUUUAUAGUUGUCUUUUCAGACGUUUUCAGAAGAGAUGAGAGAAAUGCUUUGGGAAUUGAUUUGGAAAUCUUUUUGCUGUCAUUACUUUUAAUAGCUAGAUAUAUGUUUUAAUUGUAAAAAAUUCUGGAAAUACUUUUUUCUCUACCUGCCCCCAUUUUUUUUUGUUUUUUUUCUGAGACAAGCCUGGGUGACAGAGCAAGACUCUGUCUUAAACAAACAAAUAAACACAACCUGGCACCUCUUUCUUCUCUCUCUCUUGUUCUCUCACCAUGUAACAUGCUGGCUCCUUUCCUCUUGCCAUGAUUGUAAACUUCCUGAGGCCCUCACCAGAAGCAGAUACCAGCAUUAUACUCCUUGUACACUCUACGGAACUGUGAGCCAAAAUAAAACUCUUUUCUUUAU